GCUGGAGCGGGGAGCGGGGGGCUCGGAGCUGUUCGGCCCCUCCAGCAGCCUCACGCUCCCGGUGACCCACGUUGGGAGGGGGGGUUUCUUUCUGGAGAGAGGGAAUGACCACACCGUGGGGGGAGGAAUCAACAGCUGGAGCUCGCAGAGACCCCCGGCUCACCCCUCUCGGGCAACCCAGGGUUAAAAACCCGGUGCCACGGCCCCUGCCAAGGCCAAGGAUAUCACACCUGGACACGGAUGCGACCAAAGCCACCGGGAUUUCCGAGCUGCAGCAGCGCUUCCCACUCGCCCCCCUCCGCAGGAGCCUCCCCGGCCGUAGCGGGGGCUGCAGCAGCCGGGGACGGCUGCGGGCUCGGGGACAGCCCCACCCACGGCCACGGGUGGAGGAGGGCCCAGGGAGGGAGCUCAUCCCUUGGCAGCCGCGGCAGCGGCGAAAUGGAGAGGGCGGCAGGGGAAGAGUGGGGCUGGGGGGUCGUGGGGCAACUCGGGGACCGGUCUGGUGCUUUCCACAGCGGCCCCGUUACCGGGGCUCCUCCCUGAGGCUUCCCGGGGCGGGAAGAGGCACCGAUCCCACGCCGGGGGAUCCCAGCUCCCGGUCCCAGGCAGCCGUCGGGGCUCGAUCUCCGCCUGGGAUCUCCGGGAAGAGGGGGCUCCAGAGCCCAGACCCGCGGGCCUGGGGAGGCUCUCGGGCUCCCAGCUGCCGUUCCGAAUGCUCUAAGGAAGGCGGUGGAUCCUGGCGGGGUCCUUGCCCCCGGCCCCACGUUCCCUUUGGGACAGCGGCACGUACCAUCCCUCCCUGCUCCCCACGGCUUCCAGGCCCUGGGAUGGAAACGCGCGAGGAAUUUCGCGGGACAUUUGCCACCGGCUGCAGCGCAAAUCCCGGAUUCUGGAAGGUUUCCCAGUGCUGCCGAGCAGGCGACACACCGUGACAGGAUGAGCAGCAAAGAAGACCCGAGCAAGUGCUGUCCGGCGGCUGCUCCCAUCUCCAGUUUCACCAUCCAGUCCAUCC
RNAcentral lists this long non-coding RNA (1012 nucleotides) under Cyanistes caeruleus (blue tit). RNAcentral's name for it is "lncRNA (ENSCCEG00000018171.1)". Lineage: Eukaryota; Metazoa; Chordata; Aves; Passeriformes; Paridae. The record is from RNAcentral.